This 64-nucleotide transfer RNA is filed under the name Neochauliodes rotundatus. RNAcentral's name for it is "tRNA-Gly". Lineage: Eukaryota; Metazoa; Arthropoda; Insecta; Megaloptera; Corydalidae. The record is from RNAcentral.
AUUUAUAUAGUAUAAAAAGUAUAUUUGACUUCCAAUCAAAAGGUCUAAUUUUUAGGUAUAAAUA